Molecule: long non-coding RNA, 303 nt
Organism: Melospiza georgiana
Lineage: Eukaryota; Metazoa; Chordata; Aves; Passeriformes; Passerellidae
Exons: 3
Source: RefSeq, a predicted model, not a curated record
UCCGGGUCGAGGAUCUGCGAUCCGGGACGGAGCCCUGGUCCCGGUCCGGGGGUACCCACUGCUGCCUCCCUGCUUUGCCCUCGCGCGAGCGGACCCGGCGGCUGGUGGCAAUGUCUCCUUGGGCCAGGCUCCUCUCCAGCACCUCCAGGGUCAGCCUGCUGCUGCUGCUGGGCUCUGUGCUCCUCUCCUGCUCCAGCCUGGGACAGAGAGUGCCUGAGUUUGCCCUUACAAAAAUAGAAGAGAGCGACAUAAAAGAUGACAGUGGGAAGGAGCUGGGGACCGAGGAUGACGCUGAUCCUGAAG